Molecule: long non-coding RNA, 2817 nt
Organism: Aegilops tauschii subsp. strangulata
Lineage: Eukaryota; Viridiplantae; Streptophyta; Magnoliopsida; Poales; Poaceae
Source: RefSeq, a predicted model, not a curated record
UGCUCCAGGAGGUCCAGGUCGCCUUCGGACGACAAGGCGCGCCCCAUGGAGAUGCCUGGCUGGGCGUCUCCCCCUUCCAUACAGAACUAAUUGCGUCAAGCCGUCCAAUAUACCAUGGGCGGUUAUAUGGCAAGGAUAAACUAAGGAAGGCUCCUUUUCUCACGGAACUAAUUGCGUCAAGCCGUCUUCCUCUUCUUGGCAAUACCAAUAUACCAUGGGCGGUUACACGGUGGGAAUAAACUAAGGAAGGUUUUCUCGCUCACGGAACUAACUGCGUCCAUUUCCAAAAAUAAAGAACUAAUUGUGUAUUGCCUUAUUUUUAAAGUAGUUGCUUAUUGCCUUGGUGUUCUACAUGUGUGUUCAUGUGGUAUUAUCAUAGUAAAUUCUAGAGCUUCAUUCUGUUCUACAGGAUUGUAACAGUUGCUGAUGUGGCCAUUCCAUUAAGGGGAUUUGUUAUGUGAACCAGUCCUUGUUGUUAGAGGCCACAUGCAAGGCCACUAAGAUGUAGGCCACAAGUCUUGCAUCAGUGAUGUCACAGCAUAGAGGGGGAUCAGGGAGGGUGCACUAAUUAGAGAUUCUGGUAUAUAGUUGUGUGGGGUCUAUAAAAUUUGUCAUCACUGUGCAAUGAACGGGAAACCACAGAUUCCCGGGGGCUUAUCUGGAAAGCUAGGCGUUUUAGUAUCUUCCCAGUUCCCACUACCGUUGCGUACACACGCCACAUGAUUCCCUCUGGCAGCAAAUUACAUCACAAAAAGUAGUCUUCCGAAAAAUUCUCUAAAGCCUUCAAAAAACUAAGUACAGGAAAUAUCCAGAGAGGCUAAAAGUGCCUGUGUACCUUCCCGUAAAAAAGUGCUUAAAUAACAGCAGAAAAAAAAUGCCAUGAAAACCUUUUCGAGUCUGUAGGGGGGAAACUUCACAGAUCCUAAAUAGAUAGAUUUAUGAGUUGUGGGCUGUCUGGCACCAAAUUAUUUUACUGUAGAUGCUUUAUGAGCUAAGCAGUUCCUUUUUCUAGAGAUCGCAGAUGCACUUGCAUAGUUAAAUAUGGACUGUGCUUGCUCCCAGGACUGCAUCUUGUAAAGCUACAUAUGUACGGCUAGUCACGUAUCUAUAUGGGAUUGGUUAGUGCUUUAGUUUAAUCUUUCUUCUCUUGUUAGAUCUUUACCUUCCUUGGUUUUCUAUGGUUGUUUGCUUGGGAAUAUUAAAAGAUAGGAAGUUGUUCAGAACAAGGAUCAAUUAGUGAGCCAAAUAAUGGCGGUUUAGGUGGACAUACAUGUGAUCCCCAAUACCAAAGUCCAAUUGGGGGGGUUAAUUAUGCCAGAGCAAUAGAUUUUUCUUCCCAAGGCUGUUCCCUUUUGGGAGGGCUUUAAAGAUUGUCAGAAUGUUAAUUUGCUACAACUUACUAUGUAAGUACUGCUAACUGCAAUUUGCUUGAUUCCUCCCGCGAGAACGUGUUUCUGCGCCCUGAUCAGGGAGGAGGGCAUUAGAAUACUGCCUUGAUUCAUUAUUCCAUGACAUGUCUAGGAAUCUUUGAUGCCUCUUGGCAAUGCAACAAAGGCAACAAGUACAACUGGCGCUAUCUGAAUUUUUUUUUUUGAAACUUUCUCCUCUCUCUUUACAUUUGGAGCGUGCUGUGUGCUGUUUCAAAAGGGGGAAAACUAUGUGAACUGUGAUUAGCUCACUUUGUUGCUAUUUUGAUUUAAUCGUAACCUCAUUUAUAAUUGUGGGGAGCACGGAAGCACACCCAUUUGCAAUAUUUAUUCUCAUGAGCUAAUCUGUUCUCUACUGCCCACAUGUGCUUGUUUAUGCCAGCAUCAGUUUCCUGCUGCAUGGAGAGGUGUACAUUGCUCUUGGUCUUGGAUCAACAUAGAGAGGAGAAGACACUAGUUGGAGGUGACACUAGUUGAUAAAGCACAAUGCACCGCAAAUGCUCAUCUCAGGAAACUCUUGCUCGGAACCGGUUUUCAAUGACAAGACUUUGCUCACCAAUGGCGAUGGCGGGCCACCGAGAAGAUCAAAGCGUGUGUGAUUUCUUCAGAGCCUGUCACUUGUUAAUGUUUAGUGUUUUCUCUUAAGAGUUCUUCGUGAAAAAAAGCUGGUUGGAUCACAUUAUCAAUUGAGAGAUGCACCCAAUAACGGAUACUUGGGAAUCUGACAACUAAGCCUGAAGAUGUGUAUGAACUGCAUCGAACUCUGGGGAUUUGGAUAUUCCAGGUCAAGGGAGGGGAUUCAUACAUGGGUUUAAUUUUAGCUUCGCUCCAUGUACCGCGACAAGUACCCCCAUGGAGCUCGCUGCUGAAAGUUUCUUCCUUGACGACUUUGCCGCGCCUAUGGUAUGCUUGGAAGCUCCUUCGUCUGCGACUUUGCUGCGCCAAUGGUAUGCUCGGAAGCUUAGUUUGAUCUCCUUGAUGGCGUCGAUGUCGUGAAGUCUUAGAAUGGUGUAUGUAAUUUGAAAAUAUCUGAUAUUCUGAUGGCCGUGCUCAAUUCAGGCGGCCGAGGUUCAGUAUGCUAGCGACGUUACAGAAAUGAGAACAAAGUAAAGAGGUAAAAACCUCCAUCCAUAAAUGGCUCUGUUUACGUUGAGUGACAAGGCAUCAUGUAAAACUUCAAUUUCUCCAUAUCAUUGAGAAUAUGUUUGUCUACAAGAACUAGUAGUGAGAAGAUAGAGAGAAUCAGAGAAGAUCAAAAAAUAUAUCAUUGCUACUGUGCAUAAACAUAAGAUCAAAUAUGAUGUGCUGGUUGGGAGGGAGCAUGCCUGUCCCGAUCCGUAUUUAAGCGAUAAACUUGUUAUUAAUAGUCGUGGUGUCGUCAUGGUUAGGG